Long non-coding RNA from Xiphophorus couchianus (Monterrey platyfish), 287 nucleotides. RefSeq lists it as uncharacterized. NCBI's taxonomy places the organism in Eukaryota, Metazoa, Chordata, Actinopteri, Cyprinodontiformes, Poeciliidae. The record is from RefSeq and is a predicted model, not a curated record. The transcript is spliced from 2 exons.
GACAACGCAACCAAACCCCGGAACAGUGGAUCAGAGAAACGAGUGGAGCCGGAGUGACUGGAUCAGUGGACUUGGAGUCAGUAAUGCAGCUCUCUCAUAUCGACCUGAAAUGCAUUUAAAACACACUCAGUCAACCCCGUUGGGAUCCAAUAGGCGCAUCAAAAGAAGUACUGUUUCCCUGUCUGUGACUAUGCCAGCCAUCCAACAUUUCUGGUGCAUCCUCCUGUAGCCGUGCUGUCUCCCAGACCCUUGUAGUUGUUGCUCAAUAAAAGAGGCCACUUCUGCAA